CCGAGCGGGACCCGGCUCCCCCGUCCCUCCCCUCCCCCCAGCGGGCCCGCGACUGGCGGACGCGGAGGGGUGAAACCCGCCCCCUUCCGGCUGGUCCCGCGCGCUGGCGGCGGAGGUGCGUUUCGAUUCCACAGGUAUGUGCCGGGGCAGCUGGACACUGUGCGCGCCGUGACUCGAAGGUGAAGAAUGCAAAGAACCACCCCAUGAAUCAUUCAUCCGCGCCUCCGGCGAGAGGUCUUGCCCUGAGGGAUCUUCCCAAAUGAAGUUCAACCCAGCGAGCGUUUCGUGAGCGCCGGCUCCGCGCUUAGCUCGCUGCCAGGUGCUGCGCAGGAUAUUGGAUGCUACCUAAAUGCCCAAACAGGAAGACUGGUUGAAUAAACUUACAACUGACACCUAGGAAGCAAGAAAAAUGAAUGAGGAAUCUUUAUAACUGAUUCAUUGUAAUUUCCAAGAUAUAUUAUUAAGUUUUAAAAACAAAGUACAAAAACAAAUGUAUAGUAUGUCACCUUUUGUAUAAUAAAGACAAGAAAAUAAA
Molecule: long non-coding RNA, 535 nt
Organism: Canis lupus familiaris (dog)
Lineage: Eukaryota; Metazoa; Chordata; Mammalia; Carnivora; Canidae
Exons: 2
Source: RefSeq, a predicted model, not a curated record